This 253-nucleotide ribosomal RNA is filed under the name uncultured bacterium. RNAcentral's name for it is "partial 16S ribosomal RNA". It matches the Rfam family "Bacterial small subunit ribosomal RNA", at positions 524 to 776 of the family's 1533-position model. The record is from RNAcentral.
GACGAACCGUGCAAACGUUGUUCGGAAUCACUGGGCUUAAAGGGCGCGUAGGCGGCUUGUCAAGUCAGGGGUGAAAUCUUUCGGCUUAACCGGAAAAGUGCCUUUGAUACUGACAGGCUCGAGGGAGGUAGGGGUAUGUGGAACUUCUGGUGGAGCGGUGAAAUGCGUUGAUAUCAGAAGGAACGCCGGUGGCGAAAGCGACGUACUGGACCUCUUCUGACGCUGAGGCGCGAAAGCUAGGGGAGCAAACAGG